Molecule: long non-coding RNA, 316 nt
Filed under: Elaeis guineensis (African oil palm)
Lineage: Eukaryota; Viridiplantae; Streptophyta; Magnoliopsida; Arecales; Arecaceae
Description: long non-coding RNA (EGUI_LNC067763)
Source: RNAcentral
CGGCAAGACCCUCCGACGCUCAAGUCAGUUCUCUGCCUCAACAAGAAUGGAGUGCUCGAACAGAGAAUUUAGCAGAGUUUUGAGAUAAGAAAAUGAGCUUAGAGAAUAACGUAUCUGGGUCCCCCCUUUUAUAGGCGGAGGAGGCAAUAGAUUGAUGGCGACGUUUGUAACCGUCUGGUAGUGGGCCGCCCAUGGUCAGGGGAAUUGAUUGCAAAGGAUCGUGGAGUAGACGCGUGGCCAUCACCGUGGCUCGCCACGUGGAAUCUGUUACAAGGGGUGGAGCAGCGUCCGUUGUCGUGACUCGCCAGCGGAUGGG